RNAcentral lists this ribosomal RNA (497 nucleotides) under uncultured bacterium. Its description in RNAcentral is "partial 16S ribosomal RNA". It matches the Rfam family "Bacterial small subunit ribosomal RNA", at positions 28 to 507 of the family's 1533-position model. The record is from RNAcentral.
GAUGAACGCUGGCGGCGUGCCUAAUACAUGCAAGUCGAGCGAACAGAUGAGGAGCUUGCUCCUCUGACGUUAGCGGCGGACGGGUGAGUAACACGUGGAUAACCUACCUAUAAGACUGGGAUAACUUCGGGAAACCGGAGCUAAUACCGGAUAAUAUAUUGAACCGCAUGGUUCAAUAGUGAAAGACGGUUUUGCUGUCACUUAUAGAUGGAUCCGCGCCGCAUUAGCUAGUUGGUAAGGUAACGGCUUACCAAGGCGACGAUGCGUAGCCGACCUGAGAGGGUGAUCGGCCACACUGGAACUGAGACACGGUCCAGACUCCUACGGGAGGCAGCAGUAGGGAAGCUUCCGCAAUGGGCGAAAGCCUGACGGAGCAACGCCGCGUGAGUGAUGAAGGUCUUCGGAUCGUAAAACUCUGUUAUUAGGGAAGAACAAAUGUGUAAGUAACUAUGCACGUCUUGACGGUACCUAAUCAGAAAGCCACGGCUAACUACGUG